This 631-nucleotide long non-coding RNA is filed under the name Bos taurus (domestic cattle). Its description in RNAcentral is "long non-coding RNA NONBTAT025007". Lineage: Eukaryota; Metazoa; Chordata; Mammalia; Artiodactyla; Bovidae. The record is from RNAcentral.
CUGUAAUUAUUCAUUUUUUAUUGGUUCAUAUGUCUUUCUCAUUAAUGUAUGAGGGGCACAAAAAGCAUAACCCGUUUCCUUACAGAUAUUUUUCUGGCAUGCCCCAUUCAUCUCCCAAGUGUUGAAGAGGGACUUCCCUGUGGCCCAGUGGUCACGGCUCCAUGUGUAGAGGGUGUGGGCUGUUGAGAUGUUUGAUGGUUUACUGACCUGCUAUAAAAUCUUUUGCUUGAUGAAUAGCUGCUAUGUGACUUUUGCAUGAAUGAUUUCCAACCUAAAUGAAUACCGAAUCUGCUCAAAAUCUGCGGGCCAAACAACUAUGAUGGUGUGAAGCACAAAUUGUUAAAUUGGUAUCAGAAUACAUGCUAAUUCAUACUAAAAACUGGAACAUUAAAUUUGGAAUUUCACUAUGGGAAAAAAAAAAAGGAUAUAACUUCCCCCCUCCACACACAUACUUAAACUAGAUAGGUCUUAUGUGUUGUAUGCACUGAAGCCUCCUUCUUUCAUCUUAAACUAUACAGGUAGGGGUGGGGGUAAGUGUUUUCUUUGAGUCAAAGUGUUACAGACUCUGGUGAGCCCUGAGAUAGUUUCUGUAUUUUAUCUACGAAAGCACUGACAUGAGAAAUGUACAUUC